ACUCAGGGGAGGCUAUGAACCUCCUUGUUGCUCCUUGGUGACAGAGGUUUACGACCCAAGGCCUUCAUCCCUCACGCGGCGUUGCACCAUCAGGGUUGCCCCCCAUUGUGAA
Molecule: ribosomal RNA, 112 nt
Filed under: uncultured bacterium
Lineage: Bacteria
Description: partial 16S ribosomal RNA
Source: RNAcentral